RNA transcript from Alligator mississippiensis (American alligator), 1466 nucleotides. RefSeq lists it as uncharacterized. The record is from RefSeq and is a predicted model, not a curated record. NCBI's taxonomy places the organism in Eukaryota, Metazoa, Chordata, Crocodylia, Alligatoridae. The transcript is spliced from 3 exons.
UGGGGCAUGGGCAGGGCACUGAGGUCUGGGGGCAGCCAGGGACACAGGGGUCCCCAAAGCCCCCCGUGACCCUGGCCGUGCCCGGUGCCCAGGACACAUCGCUGCUGCAGAAUGGAGGGGCAGGGGGAUACCGCCAGGAAGAGCCGCCUGCCCUGCCUGCCCCCACACACCUCAGCUUCCCUGCGUGGGAAGCCAGUGCCCCUCGCCUGGGGAUGGGCAUCCGGCCAGCAGCAAAUGCAGUGCCAGGGGUGCGGGUUAUCUCCAAAGGCGCCCUAUAGCAGCAAAGUGCCCCCUCCAGGGGGAACCCCCAGUCUCUGGGAGAUAAUACCCUCUCCAGAGGUGACCCCCGCUCCUGGGGUAACCCCCCACCCAAGGGUGCUGUCCCUACUCCGCUUUCCCAGUCCGUGGGUGACUCCUCCACUCUGCUAGCCCCACUGCAGGGACAAGGAUGCCCCCCCACUCCAGGGAUGCUCCCCAACUUCAGCCCCCCCACCCAGGGGUGCCCCCCGUGCUCAGGGUGCCCCAGUCCCCACCAGGCCCCAUGCAGCAGAGGAAGGAAGAGCCAGAGUGAAAGCGAAAGCGCUGCAUUUUUCCAGUUUCCUGGAACGAGUGCCACCCGCUCCUGCCCCGCUGCCCCCGGCCUGGCCUGGGCACGGGGCCGCCAUGGCCGAGCAGCUGCUGAGGCUCCUGCAGGAGCUGGACGAGGAGCAGUUCAAGUGCUUCAAGUUCUUCCUGCGGUACUCGGCGCCUGAGCCCCGGAUCGCCUGGGGGCCUCUGGAAAAUGCCUCGCGCCACCAGACCGCUGACCGGCUGCUCGAGCACUACCCGCACGACACCCUGGGUGUGGCCCUGCAGAUGGUGAGGUUGAUACCCCGACUCGACCUGGUCCACAGCUUUCAGCCCCCGCAGGAUGGAGCUGCGCCCAGCCAGGGCAACAGGGGUGCUGCCAACGGCCCUGAGCAAGCCCCGGGUCCAGCAGGGCGGCCGAGGCUGGUGUCACAGUCGCAGCUGAUGAACCUGGCCAGAUGCAUGGGCCGGGAGUGGCGCCAGAUUGGGAUCCAGUUCCUGGGGCUGCAGAAUCACCAGCUGGACCAGCUGCAAGAGGACCACCAUGGCAACCUGGUCAUGCAGGCCUUUGGCAUGCUGCUCGAGUGGAGGCAAAAAAAGGGGCGGGCAGCCACGGCUGCCCACCUGCACAGCAUCCUCUCUGCCCCGGACGUGGCCCUGCAGCCCGAGGCCCUGGACUGCCUCCUGCAGAGCUGAUCAGGACAGGAGCUGGCACAUGGGCUGGGGCUGGGCCCAGCUGGAGAGGCGGUGACAAGGGGCUGGGGCGAAGAGGAAGUCUCAGGAGCUGGAAUCCAGUGCCAGUGAAGCCCAGUGCGAUGGAGGUGGGGACCCUGAACCUUGCUCGGCCCACUUACAAAGGAUUUUUAUUCUCAAUAAACACCAGGUUUUGUAUGUGCAAA